GACGAACGCUGGCGGCGUGCUUAACACAUGCAAGUCGUACGGAAAGGCCCUUUCGGGGGUUCACGAGUGGCAAACGGUUAUGUAAGACGGGCGUAACCGUGCCUAAACUUUGGGAUACCGCUCUGAAACUGGUGCUAAUCAUCUGUAUGCGCCUCUGCAGCAUGGUGGAGGUUGGAAAGCUGCGUCCGUUGUGGAUGGACUCGCGGCCUAUCAGCGUGUUGGUGGGGUAGUGGCCUACCAAGGCGGCGACGGGAGGCCAGCCUGCGAGGGUGACGGGCCACAGUGGGACUGAGAUACGGCCCAGACUCCUACCGGAGGCAGCAGUGGGGAAUAUUGAACAAUGGGCGCAAGACGGAUGCAGCAACGCCGCGUGCGGGAUGACGGCCUUCGGGUUGUAAACCGCUUUCAGCAGGGACGAAGCUUUUUGUGACGGUACCUGCAGAAGAAGCACCGGCUAACUACGUG
Molecule: ribosomal RNA, 465 nt
Filed under: uncultured bacterium
Lineage: Bacteria
Description: partial 16S ribosomal RNA
Rfam family: Bacterial small subunit ribosomal RNA
Source: RNAcentral